GAUGAACGCUGGCGGCGUGCCUAAUACAUGCAAGUCGAGCGAACAGACGAGGAGCUUGCUCCUCUGACGUUAGCGGCGGACGGGUGAGUAACACGUGGAUAACCUACCUAUAAGACUGGGAUAACUUCGGGAAACCGGAGCUAAUACCGGAUAAUAUAUUGAACCGCAUGGUUCAAUAGUGAAAGACGGUUUUGCUGUCACUUAUAGAUGGAUCCGUGCCGCAUUAGCUAGUUGGUAAGGUAACGGCUUACCAAGGCGACGAUGCGUAGCCGACCUGAGAGGGUGAUCGGCCACACUGGAACUGAGACACGGUCCAGACUCCUACGGGAGGCAGCAGUAGGGAAUCUUCCGCAAUGGGCGAAAGCCUGACGGAGCAACGCCGCGUGAGUGAUGAAGGUCUUCGGAUCGUAGAACUCUGUUAUUAGGGAAGAACAAAUGUGUAAGUAACUAUGCACGUCUUGACGGUACCUAAUCAGAAAGCCACGGCUAACUACGUG
Molecule: ribosomal RNA, 497 nt
Filed under: uncultured bacterium
Lineage: Bacteria
Description: partial 16S ribosomal RNA
Rfam family: Bacterial small subunit ribosomal RNA
Source: RNAcentral